RNAcentral lists this ribosomal RNA (485 nucleotides) under uncultured bacterium. RNAcentral's name for it is "partial 16S ribosomal RNA". It matches the Rfam family "Bacterial small subunit ribosomal RNA", at positions 28 to 507 of the family's 1533-position model. The record is from RNAcentral.
GAUGAACGCUGGCGGCGUGCUUAACACAUGCAAGUCGAACGGGAGCACAGGGGUGCUUGCACUUUUUGGUGAGCGUGGCGAGCGGGUGAGUCACACGUAAGUAACCUGUCCUUUUCUUUGGGAUCAGCGUUAGAAAGGGUGUUUAAUACCUUAUGUUCUGUCUGCCUCGCAUGGGGUAGGUGGGAAAGGCUUUGGCCGGAUUUGGGUGGGCUCGCGGUCUAUCAGCUUGUUGGUGGGGUGAUGGCUUACCAAGGCGUUGCCGCGUAGCCGGCCUGAGAGGGUGCUCGGUCAGAUUCGGGCUCCGGUCCGGCCCAGACGGCUGCGGGAGGCAGCAGUGGGCGAUAUUGGAAAAUGUGCCAAAGCCUGACGCCGCGACGCCGCGGGGGGUAUGAAGCCUAUCGGGCUGUUAUCUUGUAUGGCUCUGAACGAGGCAUGCCAGUGGGUGUGUUGCGUUUACUGGUCGGUUAGCGCCGGCUAACUACGUG